Molecule: ribosomal RNA, 468 nt
Filed under: uncultured bacterium
Lineage: Bacteria
Description: partial 16S ribosomal RNA
Rfam family: Bacterial small subunit ribosomal RNA
Source: RNAcentral
GACGAACGCUGGCGGCGUGCUUAACACAUGCAAGUCGAACGGAAAGGCCCUGCUUUUGUGGGGUGCUCGAGUGGCGAACGGGUGAGUAACACGUGAGUAACCUGCCCUUGACUUUGGGAUAACUUCAGGAAACUGGGGCUAAUACCGGAUAGGAGCUCCUGCUGCAUGGUGGGGGUUGGAAAGUUUCGGCGGUUGGGGAUGGACUCGCGGCUUAUCAGCUUGUUGGUGGGGUAGUGGCUUACCAAGGCUUUGACGGGUAGCCGGCCUGAGAGGGUGACCGGACAGAUUGGGACUGAGAUACGGCCCAGACUCCUACGGGAGGCAGCAGUGGGGAAUAUUGCACAAUGGGCGGAAGCCUGAUGCAGCAACGCCGCGUGCGGGAUGACGGCCUUCGGGUUGUAAACCGCUUUCGCCUGUGACGAAGCGUGAGUGACGGUAAUGGGUAAAGAAGCACCGGCUAACUACGUG